Molecule: ribosomal RNA, 448 nt
Filed under: uncultured bacterium
Lineage: Bacteria
Description: SSU rRNA
Rfam family: Bacterial small subunit ribosomal RNA
Source: RNAcentral
AGGAUGAACGCUGGCGGUCUGCUUAACACAUGCAAGUCGAACGGGCGUAGCAAUACGUUAGUGGCGGACGGGUGAGUAACGCGUGAGAAUCUACCUUCAGGACGGAGACAACAGUUGGAAACGACUGCUAACCCCCGAUGUACCGAAAGGGCAAAUAUUUAUAGCCUGAAGAAGAGCUCGCGUCCGAUUAGCUAGUUGGAGAGGUAAAAGCUCACCAAGGCGACGAUCGGUAGCUGGUCUGAGAGGACGAUCAGCCACACUGGGACUGAGACACGGCCCAGACUCCUACGGGAGGCAGCAGUGGGGAAUUUUCCGCAAUGGAGGCAACUCUGACGGAGCAACGCCGCGUGCAGGAUGAAGGUUUUCGGAUCGUAAACUGCUUUUCUCGGGGACGAGCAAGGACGGUACCCGAGGAAGAAGCCCCGGCUAACUACGCGCCAGCAGCCGC